AAUGGGAGGAUAAGAGAGAAGAGGACAGCAGGGCACUUGUGCAAGGAACCAAGUCAAGGAACCAAGAGUAAAGGGGUAUUUUCCAUUUCUUGUGUACUGUGGUUCUGAUAUAAACUGUUCGCCAACUGGCAACUGAUAUUGGACAACGUCCUCGGCCUGUUGCUGCAUCUUGGGGCGGCGGCCAAAAAGUUUUUUGCAUACCCACAUCCAGGCUCAACUUCUAGCUCAACUGGCCGCGAAGUGAGAGUUGGAAAACAAAAAUAUGCCUUGGCGGUUACGCACGACUUUGCUGCAGAUGCCAGGCGGGCAGCUACGUACAAUACAUACAUCCACACAUACACUACACCGAUGCAGCCACGGGUCGCACUAGGCUAUCUAUCAGUGACAGUGUCCCGAGGGAAUUCAAUCAAUUUUCAUUAUUGAAUCUCGCCUCGCAGGAAGCGAAAUCUUGAGUCCCCGAAGCCCACACCCAUAAUUGAUUGAUUGAUCAAAAAGAAAACUCCGGAAAUUCCAGCCUCGCCAUCUUCCCACCAACCUGUUGUUGGACUGUCAAUAAAUCGAGCUAACAUAGCCUAAUUAAUGUGAAUGAAUGCAUAAACCCCAACCCCCUCCCCCCCUCUCCAAGGGUUUUCUAGCGGGGAAAACAAUGGAGGACAACGAUGAUUGCUCGCCUGGGAAAUAUGGAGCUGGAUAGAGAGCCCGCACCCUACCCAAUCCCUGAAACGAUUGCAG
This 732-nucleotide small RNA is filed under the name Histoplasma capsulatum var. duboisii H88. RNAcentral's name for it is "Histoplasma capsulatum H88 hypothetical RNA". The record is from RNAcentral. Lineage: Eukaryota; Fungi; Ascomycota; Eurotiomycetes; Onygenales; Ajellomycetaceae.